Rosa rugosa (rugosa rose) is the source of this 2459-nucleotide RNA transcript. It is a transcript of the gene named cyclic nucleotide-gated ion channel 1-like, with no coding region annotated. NCBI's taxonomy places the organism in Eukaryota, Viridiplantae, Streptophyta, Magnoliopsida, Rosales, Rosaceae. The transcript is spliced from 8 exons. The record is from RefSeq and is a predicted model, not a curated record.
UGCAGCUCUUAAGUUAUCCACAUAUCCCUUAUUUCUCUCUGAAUCGGACAUCGAUCUUUUGUGGUCUUAAUUUGGCUGGGUGUACGUUUAUAGUCAGACUCUCUAGAGCUCUAUAUUUGUCUCAUAAAAACCUUGAGAUCAAUAUGAAUCCCCAGCAGCCCUCUGAUGUAUCGAUUGAGUUAAGAAUGUGUGAGCAUCUAAUUGUAUAUCUUGUUUACGUGCGGAAUGUGUGAGGAUCUAAUUGUAUAUCUUGUUUAUUAAUUAGUAGCCCACAUCGAAACUUAAGGGGGCGUUCUGACAAUGAAGAUGGAGCUGGACAUAGACCGAGUAUAAUGUGACAAAUAUUAUUACAGAGAAUACUUGGUCCAAGUGAUGAUGAACCAACUAGUUAUUUUCCGAUAUGGGAAGACAUAUUUAGAAUAUCUUGUGCACUUGCUGUCCUUCUUGAUCCACUGUUCUGUUACAUUCCUAUCAUUGAUGAGGAACAUGUGUGCUACUAUUGGCACCAGAAAUUGAUGUGGACAUUUGUUGGUUUACAAUCCGUCAUACAACUGUUUUAUGCAAUGGACAUUUUUGUUUUCUGGAAACGAGUUCAUCGCAGACGUAAUGCUAAUAGGACAGUACAAGCGUGCAUAUUUAAGUGGUUACCUAUUAUACCUCGCAUAUAUAUUUCUCUUCCCAUUGCACAGGUGGACCAAGGUCCACACAAGACUUUUGCUAUUUUUGGGGUCGAACAAUCGGGGCUCGAGAGGACCGCCUUACUUGGCUCCCAUCGCUUAGGUCCCAGACUCCCAGAUAGCUCUGAAUCAAAUCUUGUCGGUGUGGGGCAUGUGACAACACCAUCCGACAUGAGAUAGUAGUAGUUGCAAAAUAUUUUGAUCGUUAUUAUUUUAAUUCAUGUGUGUUAAAAAAAUUUCUUAUUUAGCUGAGGUAAAAUUGUUGUGUAAUGUGACUACAGGCAACAGUACUCAUAGGAAGAUAUGCAUAUAAUUGGGAUAACUAUAUUUUUCUAGUUUUUUUCUAUCCGGUGCAAUAUACACUACGGACUUAUGGCACCUUUGGACUGAUCAAGCAACCUCCUAAUAUGGAAACUGGAAUAGGAAGAUGGCUUCAAGCUAUACUGGAUUUUCUUCCAUUCAUCAUUGCUUCACAUUUAUUUGGGGCCUUGUGGUACCAUUUUGCCGCUGAAAGACAUGUAGGUUGUUGGGACAAAGCCUUGAGGGAGAUUGAAUUUGAAGGAUGUGAAGCUCACCAUAAUUUCUACUGCGGUGGUCCCCCGCUGACUAACAUUGAAAACUGCAGCAUGAGGACUGAUAAACAACGACAGUAUCAUCCUUAUUCCUUCAAGGAAAUGGCAACAUAUCUCAAUGCAUCAUGCCCUAUAAAUCCAGAAAAUACAACAAAGUUCGAUUUUGGUAUAUAUCAAUAUGCUCUUCGAUCUGGCUUUACAAGAUCACCAUAUCUUCCACGAAAGUUCCUGCAAUCUUUUUGGUGGGGCUUGCGGAAUUUGAGUUCUUUUGGCUCAAACCUCCAGACCAGUUUCUAUACGUUGGAAAUUAGCUUCUCAAUUUUGAUAUCUAUAACGGGGCUAGCUCUGUUUUUAGUAUAUCUCAAUGCAAGAGUGCAGGUGUCACAAAAAAGAUCUGAUCGGAUAAAAUUACGACGAAAGAUGCAAAUGAUGAAUCUAGACAUAGAUUUGUGGUUAAGUAGAAAUUACCUUUCUGGACACAAUAAGGAGUUGAAGAAAUUGAUCAUGAAAAACGUAUAACAAAAGCUUGAAGAAAACAAAGAUGUUGAUGUGCAAAAUUUCUUCUCUCUUCUUCCUAUAGUACAGAAAAGACAGAUCAUGAGUCUUCCGCGCUUGACCUCUCUAAAGAAAGUACCGAUGUUCAAAAAUAUGAAUAUACGAGUGUUGGAAGCAAUUGUUAAACAUCUUGAGCCAGUGACUAUUACUAAAAACUGCUAUAUUAUUCGAGAGGGGGAACCAGUUUGGAACAUGCACUUCAUCACGAAUGGCACCGCAGUGAGCUACAAAACUGGUAAUCAUACCAAUGUUGGUGGAUGUAUGAAUGAUUCCUCAAUCAUUAAGUGCCUUGGGACGAACUUUUAGAUUGGGCAUUUGUAUUUGCCACUAUAUCUGAUUUGCCCUUCUCCACCAAAACUGUCAUGUCGCAGACAAGAGUUGAAGCAUUAUCUAUCAGCGCUCCGUUGUCUCAAAAUUUCGGUUGCAUUUUAGUUUGAACCCGCCUGACCUAGAACAUUCUCCAUUGGAGCAUAAGGCAGCUUCGUCCUUGCGAGCAACGUGGCGCGCAACAGCAAACCGCGGCAGUGGGUGGAGCAGAUUGAGGGAAUUAUUACAUGAAGUAUGAUCGAUCUUGGACUUAUUAUAUAUGAAGUCAAUUUACCAAACACUCAGCUGCUUUGCUUUUCAGCCACUUAUUUUCAGAAAUAAGCAGAAG